CUACGGGGGGCUGCAGUGAGGAAUAUUGCACAAUGGGGGGAACCCUGAUGCAGCAACGCCGCGUGGAGGAUGACGCAUUUCGGUGUGUAAACUCCUUUUAUAUGUCAAGAAAAUGACGGUAGCAUAUGAAUAAGCACCGGCUAACUCCGUGCCAGCAGCCGCGGUAAUACGGAGGGUGCAAGCGUUACUCGGAAUCACUGGGCGUAAAGGACGCGUAGGCGGGUUGGAAAGUCAGGUGUGAAAUCCUACAGCUUAACUGUAGAACUGCACUUGAAACUUCUAAUCUAGAGUAUGGGAGGGGGAGAUGAAAUUAGUGGUGUAGGGGUAAAAUCCGUAGAUAUCACAGGAAUACCUAAAGCGAAGGCGAUCUCCUGGAACAUUACUGACGCUAAGGCGUGAAAGCGUGGGGAGCAAACAGGAUUAGAUACCCCCGUAGUC
Molecule: ribosomal RNA, 438 nt
Filed under: uncultured bacterium
Lineage: Bacteria
Description: partial 16S ribosomal RNA
Rfam family: Bacterial small subunit ribosomal RNA
Source: RNAcentral